GAAGCUCUCUCUAGUCUCACUAUAAAUCUCCAUUUUCACAUCCCACUUCUAGCAGUCGCCGCCAUUAGGUUGUUAAGAGUCAUGCUCUGCUUCCAGGGUCGCUUUUGGCCAUCUCCUGCGACCUGCAGUCACCGUCCUCGCAGUUUCACGUAAACUCUGGCUUCAUCAUUAGUUAGGUUGAUACGGAGCUUUUCUAUUAAAUACUACUACCCAUUACAGUAGUUGUUUUUCUUGUUUUUUCUUUUUCUUUUUUUUUUUCCCUUUGUUUUCCCCUGUGAUUCUUUUUGGGCUUGUUUAAAGUGAUUGUCUGGUCCCUAUGAUGAACUUGACAAGUAAUUAAAAGUAGUGGACUGAUGAUACUCGUUGAUGACAACUUUGUUCUGAGGGAUUUUGUUUAUUCAUCGUUUUGCCAUUUUCUUUGGCUUUGUUUGUUUAUGGGCUCUAAAAAGGAUGAGUUUUUCUAGUCGCAGCAUUUUUUUUCAGAAGUGAGAACUGUUUAUUUGUCAAAUUUCUUUUAUCUCCUCAGUCUCACUCCCAGAAGGUAUGAAUAGAGACUUUUGGCUUAUAAAUUUACUUCUUGCUUAACAACUGGGGGAGGGGAGCAUUAAAUGAUGUUUUAAGGAGGGGAGCAUUAAAUGAUGUUUUAAGGGAAAGUUCCAUUUCUUUUACUUGCUUUUAUUUCAAUCGAAAACCAUUGCUUUUGGACUCUGUUUGUGCUACUCUUAUUCGGAAAGUGUAGAAAGAUCUGAGGCAAUAAGUUACUGCCUCGGUUACAGGCAUUAUUUUCUAGUAGGGAUUCAACUGACUAUUACACUUUCCCUUUAAGCUUUUCUUUAUUAAAAUUGGAUACUGUUUCUUGAAUAGCAAUGGUUGUUGCAGUGUAGAUGCAUAAAAAAAAAGACAUACAUAAUGCGGGAUGUAUGUAUAUAGGACCAUGCCAUACCUCUUAGAAUGUUUUAUGGUAUUGGGCUAGUAGUCUAUUAGGUAUAUGAUGUGAGGUUGUCUCUCUCCCUUCUUUUAUGAAAAUAAUGUUUAAUGUUUUGUUUCUUUAGUUCAAUGCGUCAUGGCUUUGAGCUUUAAAGGUGAUUGUCAAAGUUGUGAUAUGCUGUUCAAAAGGGUAGCCAUUUAUGCGAAGAUAGGGAAUUCUUAUGUGAUGGGUUAAAAUACUUCAGCCGGUCGCAUGCAGUUUUUGUUUUAAUCUAUAUUCUGUGAAAUUUUAUGAUGCUGGAGUGAGAUGAAUCAUAGUUUCUAGCUGCUACUUGGAACUUGCAGGGCUUCUUGUUCUUGAAAUUAUCCUGUGCUCAUUGGUAUGUACUGACUUGUCUCAAAUGUACUUGCAUAGAUGAUUGGAUGUGUAAAUGUUUGGAUUUUCUUAAAGAAAAAUGUAGUAUGAGAUGCAUGUCAUUGAUUGGUAAUGCUUAAGCACCAUUGAACGUUUCUUGCAUUAAGCUGUUUCCUCAGAAGGUCCUGGGCAAUCUUUCACAUUAUUGGUUCUUGGACCGGGAAGAUAAGGGUUUGACAGAUUAAACAGGGACGGUGCUUCGAUGGUAGCAACUGUACAGUAUGAUAGACCUAGACCUAGACCUAUAUUAACAGCUCAAAAGCAUUUGUUUGCUCGAUUGCCUGGAACUUGUUAAUGUCCUUCUCCCUUUUCUUGCAUUCCUAUGAAGAUUGCAUCUGUAUUUUAACGUUAAAAGUAGACUGAAAGUCAACUGAUGACAAAUCAAUUCUGAGGGAUGCACUCUUAAGCCUUGUCUGUUUGCUUCCUGCUAUACUGGCUUUUCAUGUAAACAGUUAUUUGUCUAAACAAACUGGUAAAUUUUGUUUUUCCGUCUUGCUGAACUUAGUUUAGCUAUUUAGUGCACUUUCUAUUAUGCCGAUUAGUUUAGCUAUUUAGUGAACGUUUCUAUAACGCCGAUCUAUUAAUCAUUGAUGCUACCCACUUACCCUUGUAGCAAAAGGCUAAAAACUUAAAUGUAAAAGGAACAAUUCAGCUAUAAUUCUUGGACUGGAUUUCUCUCUUCUAAAUUGAUGCAUUUUAUCUGCUAAGAUGGCAGUUUAUUGGCCAUUGACAAGAAUUAGUAUGGAGCAUUUAUCUUGUGUCUUUGACUGUAUCUUUCUCUGCUUUGUCCACAAGUACCUCCAGUUAUUUCAAUUCUGUCACCGGCUAUGUGGCUCAGAGGAUCUACUUUACGAAUUUCUCCUGUACUAUUGCACAAUUAGUUGUUCAACUUUCUGACUCUCAAGGUGUUAGUGUAUUCAUGCCUACUUGAAGAUGCUGAUUUAUAAUUUUCGUGACUGCCGCCCUCCACCUCCUCCUCCCACCCAUUUCCUUUUUGGAUAGAUUGGUUUGUGUCACAAUGGAGCAUAAGCACUUUAGUGAACUCCGUUGUUGAUUGUCAGCUAUGUCAUUUAGUAUUUAAUGGUUCUUUCUAGUGGAAGCCUCCAAUGGAAACUGCAGAGCUUGUACUGAAUCCCCUCUAGCAAAAAGAUUCUGAUGGCUGGCAAUCUUCAACCUUUGAGCAAGCACAUGACUUAUCGUCUUCGGCUGAAAUGGUGAUUCAAAUUUGUUCCAAGGCAAAAAGGAGGCUGAUGAUCUUUGGCAAUGAUGGAGAAGAAAGCUGCAAAGGAAAUGGUUUGUACGAGAGAAUCAUUACUCACUUCCUUAUUCCAACUUGCGAAAGUUGACACCAAUGCAUUCGCAACGUGGGAGCGAUUGGUGCUAUGAUUCCCGACUUCUUGGGCGUUGGAAAUGCAGUAAUUCGACGAUUAAAGGGCGAGUCUUGUACAUUGUUGAAACAUAUAUGACUAUUGUUCUUUCAUUUUUUUUUUAUGCAUUUCGUACAAAAAUACCUCUGAGCAAAAAUAGUGCGGAACAUGUAAUUGAAAGCACCGCCUUACAAAUUUCAUCCUUUUUCUUUACGUUGAAUCAUGGUUAGUUCC
Coffea eugenioides is the source of this 2943-nucleotide long non-coding RNA. RefSeq lists it as uncharacterized. The record is from RefSeq and is a predicted model, not a curated record. NCBI's taxonomy places the organism in Eukaryota, Viridiplantae, Streptophyta, Magnoliopsida, Gentianales, Rubiaceae. The transcript is spliced from 2 exons.